This 372-nucleotide long non-coding RNA is filed under the name Vigna radiata. RNAcentral describes it as "long non-coding RNA (VRAD_LNC005742)". Lineage: Eukaryota; Viridiplantae; Streptophyta; Magnoliopsida; Fabales; Fabaceae. The record is from RNAcentral.
UAUUUUUGUGGAUCCAUAUCAAUUGGGUUCCUGUAUUUUGAAAGUGUUCAAUUAAGUAUCUGUUUUGGUAAAAUUGAUUUAAUAAAAUCCCUGUCGUUAAAUUCUAUAAACGGCGUUAACUUUGUUGUGAACUGGCAUGCUGAGUAUACAAUUUUUAAUGACGUGCCAUAUUAUGGUUUACUGACUAGACAACAUUUGCUGCCAUCUCUUUUUUUUUUCAUUCUUCAUCGUCUUCGUCACCAUAACUCUUCCCAACUCUUCUCUUCAACUCUGCAACAUCAUCGUUCAGAACACCAUCAUCCUUCCGAAUCAAGGUUUCCUUAAUCUUGUGUGUGGUGUCCUUCGUCAUGUCCCAUGCCCCUUGAACGCCCU